RNAcentral lists this unclassified non-coding RNA (421 nucleotides) under soil metagenome. Its description in RNAcentral is "partial contains 5.8S ribosomal RNA, internal transcribed spacer 2, and large subunit ribosomal RNA". The stretch from base 1 to 120 matches the Rfam family "5.8S ribosomal RNA", at positions 35 to 154 of the family's 154-position model. The record is from RNAcentral.
GAUGAAGAACGCAGCGAAAUACGAUACGUAAUGUGAAUUGCAGAAUUCAGUGAAUCAUCGAAUCUUUGAACGCAUAUUGCGCUCUUUGGUAUUCCGAAGAGCAUGCUUGUUUGAGUAUCAGUAAACACCUCAACCUCUUCUUGAUUUUUCAAAAGGAGGGUGGACUUGAGCUAUCCCAACAACCUUUACCGGUCGGCGGGCGGCUUGAAAUGCAGGUGCAGCUGGACUUUUAUCUGAGCUAAAAGCAUAUCUAUUUAGUCCUCGUCAAACAGGAUUAUUACUUUUGCUGCAGCUAACAUAAAGGAUAAUUGUCCUCUUUGCUGACUGAUGCAGGAUUUUACGACACUUUAUGUGUUGUUCAACUCGAUCUCAAAUCAAGUAAGACUACCCGCUGAACUUAAGCAUAUCAAUAAGCGGAGGA